This 362-nucleotide ribosomal RNA is filed under the name uncultured bacterium. RNAcentral describes it as "bacterial SSU rRNA". It matches the Rfam family "Bacterial small subunit ribosomal RNA", at positions 28 to 416 of the family's 1533-position model. The record is from RNAcentral.
GAUGAACGCUGGCGGUGUGCCUAAUACAUGCAAGUCGAACGGGAUCUUCGGAUCUAGUGGCGAACGGGUGAGUAACACGUUGGUACCUACCCCUAAGUGGGGAAUAACUGCCCGAAAGGGUGGCUAAUACCGCAUAAUCCCGCAAGGGUAAAGCAGUAAUGCGCUUAGGGAGGGGCCUGCGUCUGAUUAGCUAGUUGGUAGGGUAAUGGCCUACCAAGGCGACGAUCAGUAGCUGGANCGAGAGGUUGACCAGCCACACUGGGACUGAGAUACGGCCCAGACUCCUACGGGAGGCAGCAGUAAGGAAUCUUCCACAAUGGACGAAAGUCUGAUGGAGCAACACCGCGUGCAGGAUGACGGCC